RNAcentral lists this ribosomal RNA (215 nucleotides) under uncultured fungus. Its description in RNAcentral is "partial small subunit ribosomal RNA". The stretch from base 87 to 215 matches the Rfam family "Eukaryotic small subunit ribosomal RNA", at positions 734 to 864 of the family's 1831-position model. Lineage: Eukaryota; Fungi. The record is from RNAcentral.
GGGAAGAGGAAUGGGUCUAGGUUCUGCCUUGUACUAAUUCACUCGACCCUUUCUUCUGGGGAAGCAAGGUGUCCUUCAGUGGAUGCUUUGGGGAACCAGGACGAUUACCUUGAGAAAAAUAGAGUGUUCAAAGCAGGCUUAUGCUUGAAUACGUUAGCAUGGAAUAAUAGAAUAGGACGUGUGGUUCUAUUUUGUUGGUUUCUAGAAUCGCCGUA